This 663-nucleotide ribosomal RNA is filed under the name uncultured bacterium. RNAcentral describes it as "partial 16S ribosomal RNA". The record is from RNAcentral.
GAUUGGUUACCUUGUUACGACUUCACCCCAGUCAUGAAUCUCACCGUGGUAACCGCCCCCCUUACGGUUAGGCUAGCUACUUCUGGUGAAACCCACUCCCAUGGUGUGACGGGCGGUGUGUACAAGACCCGGGAACGUAUUCACCGCGGCAUUCUGAUCCGCGAUUACCAGCGAUUCCGACUUCACGUAGUCGAGUUGCAGACUACGAUCCGGACUACGAUCGGCUUUCUGGGAUUGGCUCCCCCUCGCGGGUUGGCAACCCUCUGUACCGACCAUUGUAUGACGUGUGAAGCCCUACCCAUAAGGGCCAUGAGGACUUGACGUCAUCCCCACCUUCCUCCGGCUUAUCACCGGCGGUUUCCUUAGAGUGCCCAACUUAAUGAUGGCAACUAAGGACGAGGGUUGCGCUCGUUGCGGGACUUAACCCAACAUCUCACGACACGAGCUGACGACAGCCAUGCAGCACCUGUGUUACGGUUCUCUUUCGAGCACGAAGCUAUCUCUAGCGACUUCCGUACAUGUCAAAGGUGGGUAAGGUUUUUCGCGUUGCAUCGAAUUAAUCCACAUCAUCCACCGCUUGUGCGGGUCCCCGUCAAUUCCUUUGAGUUUUAAUCUUGCGACCGUACUCCCAGGCGGCUGACUUCACGCGUUAGCUACGUUACU